Molecule: ribosomal RNA, 465 nt
Filed under: Vreelandella stevensii
Lineage: Bacteria; Pseudomonadati; Pseudomonadota; Gammaproteobacteria; Oceanospirillales; Halomonadaceae
Description: partial 16S ribosomal RNA
Rfam family: Bacterial small subunit ribosomal RNA
Source: RNAcentral
CCUACGGGAGGCAGCAGUGGGGAAUAUUGGACAAUGGGGGGAACCCUGAUCCAGCCAUGCCGCGUGUGUGAAGAAGGCCCUCGGGUUGUAAAGCACUUUCAGUGAGGAAGAACGCCUGGUGGUUAAUACCCAUCAGGAAAGACAUCACUCACAGAAGAAGCACCGGCUAACUCCGUGCCAGCAGCCGCGGUAAUACGGAGGGUGCGAGCGUUAAUCGGAAUUACUGGGCGUAAAGCGCGCGUAGGUGGCUUGAUAAGCCGGUUGUGAAAGCCCCGGGCUCAACCUGGGAACGACAUCCGGAACUGUCAAGCUAGAGUGCAGGAGAGGAAGGUAGAAUUCCCGGUGUAGCGGUGAAAUGCGUAGAGAUCGGGAGGAAUACCAGUGGCGAAGGCGGCCUUCUGGACUGACACUGACACUGAGGUGCGAAAGCGUGGGUAGCAAACAGGAUUAGAUACCCCGGUAGUC